GAUGAACGCUAGCUACAGGCUUAACACAUGCAAGUCGAGGGGCAGCAUGAAAGGAACUUCGGUUCUUUUUGAUGGCGACCGGCGCACGGGUGCGUAACGCGUAUCGAACCUGCCUCAUACUCGGGGAUAGCCUUGCGAAAGUAAGAUUAAUACCCGGCGGUCUCGGAUGGCCGCAUGACUGUCCGAGUGAAGAUUUAUCGGUAUGAGAUGGCGAUGCGUCCCAUUAGCUUGUUGGUGAGGUAACGGCUCACCAAGGCAUCGAUGGGUAGGGGUUCUGAGAGGAUGAUCAGCCACACCGGGACUGAGACACGGCCCGG
This 317-nucleotide ribosomal RNA is filed under the name uncultured bacterium. Its description in RNAcentral is "bacterial SSU rRNA". It matches the Rfam family "Bacterial small subunit ribosomal RNA", at positions 28 to 334 of the family's 1533-position model. The record is from RNAcentral.